Molecule: transfer RNA, 64 nt
Filed under: Meloimorpha japonica
Lineage: Eukaryota; Metazoa; Arthropoda; Insecta; Orthoptera; Phalangopsidae
Description: tRNA-Cys
Source: RNAcentral
GGUCUUAUAUUCAAAGAAUAUGAUUUUAGAUUGCAAAUCUAAAGGUGUGUAAUUACUAAGGCUU